ACAGAUCUGGCGUUUAAACAAAAGCAGAAGGAGGAGCAAAAGAAACUUGAGGAGAUGAAAGCAAAGGCUGCUGGAAAAGGGCCCCUCGCCAGUGGUGGAAUAAAGAAGUCUGGCAAAAAGUAGCGUGAUCGAGCUACAAUGUAAGGUGUGAUCGAAUUGUUCAAUGGCCGUGCAACAUUCAGAACAUCAAGACAACUCGCUAGCGCUUAGAAUUACAAGUUAUAUACAGACCUCAGGAAUGCAGAAGGCAUUAUGACCACGCGGAGUACUCGCCACAACUAUCACUAGAUAACAUUCUGCACUUCCCGUCUCUGAAGUCAGGAGAUUAUGUAGGUAACAUUCCUUAAAAUGUUUUUGUAUUUAGCAGCAGAAGGCCUGCCAUUUCCAUUCCGUUUCUACAGAUAUUACUGAACUUGUAGUACCUCCAAACCAGAAGCUAUACCCCAAAGUUCAGGCAUUAGUGGCAAAGAAUAAACACAUACACUAAACUAGAUAAGCA
This 499-nucleotide long non-coding RNA is filed under the name Anser brachyrhynchus (Pink-footed goose). RNAcentral describes it as "lncRNA (ENSABRG00000010426.1)". The record is from RNAcentral. Lineage: Eukaryota; Metazoa; Chordata; Aves; Anseriformes; Anatidae.